CCACCCUCUGACAGUAGGGUUGGAGAGUAAAGCCAAAAUAAAAAGUUUGCUUGGUUUUUUCCAGGAACUGGUUAUAGUUUAAUAAAAUAAUUGAAAUAGUCUACAUAUCCCAGGCACUUGCGAGUACAUUUCUCUCGUUCUCCUUGCUCUUUGUGAGAAGGUGCCGGGGUGUGUGGCAGAGGCUGGUGUGGGCUCGUGGACAGGCUUCUCACUCCUUUGCUACUGCAGCAAUGCCUUGUCUCUGCUGCCUGUGAUCCCCAGGUCUGAGCUAAUCAGGGUCCAGUGUCCUCCCAUCUCUCCUGGGAGUGUGGACGCCUUGAGGUCUCAAGUGUGACUCCAGUUUGGUCCCCAGCCCAGACAGUCUGCCCUAAAGUCGUCCACUACAGAACACUUUUCUGCCAACCAUGCUGCAUCCAGCUAGAUUUAAAAAAUGAAGUCAUCAUUGGGAUAUUCACUGAGCACUGAUGCAUACUAUGGCAGACACUGUGGCUACAACACUGAAUAAGACUAUAAAAAAAUGAGUCUCCUGGUUUACAUCUGGAGUGGGACAUCUCAAAGUAGACAUGCACCUUUCAGAGAUUCUGAGGCUUCCUCAGCAGAGUAGCUGGAAAUAAGAACACCUGUUCUCCACUGAGUUUUGACACCUCUGAUCUGAGCAAACUAUACAAAAGUUGGAGAGAAAAAAACAGAAGAGGAUCCAAAACUGCCUUGAAAGUAAUUUUAAAAUGCAAAUUCCAACUAGAUCUUGAACAAUGCAAGUAUGUGGCAGAGACCGCUACCUGAUCACCAAAUUCAUUUCUUCUUCUUCCUGAGAAUACAGCUUGACUGGUUUUCCCAACUGCCCUGCACGUGACUGAGUUCUGAUGUACACUACUAUUAUUUAUGGCCCAUGACGACCUCCCACACAAGAUUCCUCAUGCUCUUUUCUGUUCAGUGAUGACUUUGGUGAAGAUGGUAGAACAUGAGAUGGAAGGAACCUGAGUCCCUCCUCACAACCAGAGGAGAGCUGAUGAGGAACAACAAUUUUGGAUUUUACAUGAAUGAAAAAUCAACAUCUCUUUUGUGAAGCCACUGAGAUUUUGGGAGUGUGGCUGUUCUGUAACCUUAGCUAGUAGCCAGUGUUACCUAAGUAAUACACAGCAUCAUUGGCAUAAGAGCAUAGAUGAUAAUGUUGGG
RNAcentral lists this long non-coding RNA (1176 nucleotides) under Equus caballus (horse). RNAcentral's name for it is "lncRNA (ENSECAG00000047511.1)". Lineage: Eukaryota; Metazoa; Chordata; Mammalia; Perissodactyla; Equidae. The record is from RNAcentral.